This 68-nucleotide transfer RNA is filed under the name Longidorus vineacola. RNAcentral describes it as "tRNA-Lys". Lineage: Eukaryota; Metazoa; Nematoda; Enoplea; Dorylaimida; Longidoridae. The record is from RNAcentral.
GAUAAGUUAGUGUAUAUCGCAUAAUAGGCUUUUACCCUAUUGGAAAUUCUUGUUAAUAUUAAUUAUUA